AAGAAAAUGGAUCCGAGACACUCUGAGAGUCUUCACAACUUUGCUCACAGAUUUAUCAACAAUUAAUUUGAUGACGUUGCAAGACUGGUGGAGUUAAACCAGAAGGACAAAAAAUAACAAAAUAAAUAAAGGAUACACAUUUUUCCAUGAGGAAUUUGUCCAUCAGUAUCAAUGCCGGGAUUUCUGUUUUACCCAUGUGCCGGCUCCAGGUUUCAUGCCAUACUCCAUUCCUCCUGUGUAAUUGACACACCUGCAACCCAUCCCCUCAUCAGCACCACAGUAUUUCAACCCCGGUUUUCCUGUCACUCAUCGCCAGUUCAACGCUUCGUCGAGAAGACCACAUCCUCCGGUUCAUCAGCCUGCCUGCCAC
Long non-coding RNA from Hypomesus transpacificus, 370 nucleotides. RefSeq lists it as uncharacterized. The record is from RefSeq and is a predicted model, not a curated record. The transcript is spliced from 3 exons. NCBI's taxonomy places the organism in Eukaryota, Metazoa, Chordata, Actinopteri, Osmeriformes, Osmeridae.